Molecule: ribosomal RNA, 404 nt
Filed under: uncultured bacterium
Lineage: Bacteria
Description: bacterial SSU rRNA
Rfam family: Bacterial small subunit ribosomal RNA
Source: RNAcentral
UGGGGAAUCUUGCGCAAUGGGCGAAAGCCUGACGCAGCAACGCCGCGUGCGGGAUGACGGCCUUCGGGUUGUAAACCGCUUUCAGUGGGGACGAAAUCAGACGGUACCCACAGAAGAAGCCCCGGCCAACUACGUGCCAGCAGCCGCGGUAACACGUAGGGGGCGAGCGUUGUCCGGAAUCAUUGGGCGUAAAGAGCUCGUAGGCGGCUCGGUAAGUCGGGUGUGAAACCCCCAGGCUCAACCUGGGGACGCCACCCGAUACUGCCGUGGCUAGAGUCCAGUAGGGGAGUGUGGAAUUCCCGGUGUAGCGGUGAAAUGCGCAGAUAUCGGGAGGAACACCAGCGGCGAAGGCGGCACUCUGGGCUGGAACUGACGCUGAGGAGCGAAAGCGUGGGUAGCAAACA